GCCGAAGUGGUGAAACCGGAAAACACGCAUCACUCAAAAUGAUGUGGGCUUACGCCCUUGAGGGUUCGACUCCCUCCUUCGGCA
RNAcentral lists this transfer RNA (84 nucleotides) under Candidatus Nealsoniibacteriota bacterium. RNAcentral's name for it is "Candidatus Nealsonbacteria bacterium tRNA-Leu". It matches the Rfam family "tRNA". Rfam says of the family: Transfer RNA (tRNA) molecules are approximately 80 nucleotides in length. Their secondary structure includes four short double-helical elements and three loops (D, anti-codon, and T loops). The record is from RNAcentral. Lineage: Bacteria; Candidatus Nealsoniibacteriota.